AGAAGGGUCAUGGGUUAUGUGAUGAGUGGCACCUGUGUCGGGAUACCACAAAGGAUCUUGAACAGUUGAAGGAGUGCCCAAGAUGGAAGGUUCAGAAUGAUCAGGAUUUGAAGACGACGGAAAGAAAGUUGCAUUAGCAGAAAUUUGUGAAGGCCCCUUGAUAUCAGAACGAGUCCAGCAAGUGAGAGUCGUGUGACCAUAUUUGAAACAGAGCUGACAUUGAACCCGGGCAGGAGCGGUGGAAGAAGAUUGAUCAG
This 257-nucleotide long non-coding RNA is filed under the name Phaseolus vulgaris (common bean). RNAcentral's name for it is "long non-coding RNA (PVUL_LNC003137)". The record is from RNAcentral. Lineage: Eukaryota; Viridiplantae; Streptophyta; Magnoliopsida; Fabales; Fabaceae.